GGGGGCAUAGCUCAGUAUUGGAGCAUCCGACUGCAAAUCGGAAUGUCCCAGGAUCAAACCCGGGUGCUCCCU
This 72-nucleotide transfer RNA is filed under the name Daphnia galeata. It matches the Rfam family "tRNA". Rfam says of the family: Transfer RNA (tRNA) molecules are approximately 80 nucleotides in length. Lineage: Eukaryota; Metazoa; Arthropoda; Branchiopoda; Diplostraca; Daphniidae. The record is from Rfam by way of RNAcentral.